This is a long non-coding RNA of Salvia miltiorrhiza (redroot sage), 571 nucleotides long. RefSeq lists it as uncharacterized. The record is from RefSeq and is a predicted model, not a curated record. The transcript has 2 exons. NCBI's taxonomy places the organism in Eukaryota, Viridiplantae, Streptophyta, Magnoliopsida, Lamiales, Lamiaceae.
AAUACAUAAAUAUUAGUAAAUAUAUUAAUUAUGUGUUUUAGAGUGGAUUGCAAGAAAUGUGGGAACUAUUCAUGGGCAGGUUGUGGAAAACACUUGAGCUCCCUUUAUGCAAAUAUUGAAAAGGGGAAGCAUUGUAUGUGCAAAUCUUGGCCUGGUGUGGUUAUCCCACCACAAGAUCCUUCUGCAGAAUCUUCAUCAUCAUCUUCAACCACCCAAGAAGCAUCGACAACCUGAAGAUACCUCACACGAGCCCCCGCUAUGAAUAAAUGGAUAUAUUACGCCAUUUGUAAUAUACAUAUACUCUCUUCGUCGUCCCGUUUCAAAUGUCUUAAAAUUAUAGGACGAAGGGAGUAAUAAUUUUCUGUUUAUUUCAAAGUAGUAUUUGUGCAGUAAUUGUGUGGGUGUGCAAACUGAGGUCAAUAACCAUUGACCAGACAGUUUCUAGUCGUGUGUGACAUUUUAUUUAAUAUUUCAUAUAAUCAGCAAAUCUAUGUUUAAUUUUUUGUUUGUAUAUGGUGCAGAGCGCCUCAAAUUUAAGUUUUAAAUAUAGUCUUAAUCAGUGGGGUUUGUG